UGGCUAGGCCCCCCUUCUCCUUUCAUUCCCUUCUUCCUUCCUUCUUGGGAUUCAGAAUUGCUCUCUGGGCAGAGGGCUGCGGAGCAGGAGCGAGGCUGCAGGUGUGAGAAGGACCCCGCCGUGCCAGGGCAGCCUCAAGGAGCUGUUGAGCGAGUUGAGCCCAGAAGACAAAGGUCGCUGAAGUCCUUCCAGGAGAAGAAGAUCAAUGCCUGGGCUGAGCCUGCGGUUAACAUCUUAAUAGUAACCGGAGAGUUUCUGAGAGAUUAGGCUCACAUACCUCUCAGAGUCCAGGAGGCAGUGAGGGAAAGCUUUUAAUUCAAAGCCCUAUCCAUCUUCCCAACUCAGGCCCUUCUGCCCCCUUUGUCAGUGUGCCCUUGUGGGAAGCCGGUGCGUUUCCAGGGGAGCUGCUGGAGGCUUCUUAUGGCAUGCAGAUCAAGGAAG
Long non-coding RNA from Homo sapiens (human), 441 nucleotides. The record is from Ensembl. Lineage: Eukaryota; Metazoa; Chordata; Mammalia; Primates; Hominidae.